CACACAGGUACACACAUCCACAGACAGGUACACAAGACACAGACAGGUGCACACAGACAGGUAGAGAGGUACAAACAGGCACAUUCAGACAAACACAGGCACAGAUAGUUACAUACAGGCACACACGGACAGACUCAAGUACACACAGGCACAGAUAAGCAAACUCGGACACACAUGGCAUAGACAGUUACACAAAGGCAUCACUGUACUGCUUCCAUU
Pelobates cultripes (western spadefoot toad) is the source of this 219-nucleotide non-coding RNA. The record is from the annotation of a GenBank genome assembly. Lineage: Eukaryota; Metazoa; Chordata; Amphibia; Anura; Pelobatidae.